Molecule: ribosomal RNA, 253 nt
Filed under: uncultured bacterium
Lineage: Bacteria
Description: partial 16S ribosomal RNA
Rfam family: Bacterial small subunit ribosomal RNA
Source: RNAcentral
UACGUAGGGGGCAAGCGUUGUCCGGAAUCAUUGGGCGUAAAGCGCGCGUAGGCGGCCCGGUAAGUCCGUUGUGAAAGUCAAAGGCUCAACCUUUGAAUGCCGAUGGAUACUGCCGGGCUAGAGUCCGGAAGAGGCGAGUGGAAUUCCUGGUGUAGCGGUGGAAUGCGCAGAUAUCAGGAGGAACACCGAUAGCGAAGGCAGCUCGCUGGGACGGUACUGACGCUGAGGCGCGAAAGCGUGGGGAGCGUACAGG